Molecule: ribosomal RNA, 740 nt
Filed under: uncultured archaeon
Lineage: Archaea
Description: bacterial SSU rRNA
Rfam family: Archaeal small subunit ribosomal RNA
Source: RNAcentral
UUCCGGUUGAUCCUGCCGGACCCGACUGCUAUCAGAGUGGGACUAAGCCAUGCGAGUCAACAUAGCAAUAUGUGGCAUACGGCUCAGUAACACGUAGUCAACAUGCCCAGGGGACGUGGAUAACCUCGGGAAACUGAGGAUAAACCGCGAUAAGUCACUACUUCUGGAAUGGGUAAUGACUCAAAUCUACAUGGCCCCUGGAUUGGACUGCGGCCGAUCAGGCUGUUGGUGAGGUAAUGGCCCACCAAACCUGUAACCGGUACGGGCUCUGAGAGGAGGAGCCCGGAGAUGGGCACUGAGACAAGGGCCCAGGCCCUAUGGGGCGCAGCAGGCGCGAAACCUCUGCAAUAGGCGAAAGCCUGACAGGGUUACUCUGAGUGAUUUCCGUUAAGGAGAUCUUUUGGCACCUCUAAAAAUGGUGCAGAAUAAGGGGUGGGCAAGUCUGGUGUCAGCCGCCGCGGUAAUACCAGCACCCCGAGUGGUCGGGACGUUUAUUGGGCCUAAAGCAUCCGUAGCCGGUUCUACAAGUCUCCCGUUAAAUCCACCUGCUUAACAGAUGGGCUGCGGAAGAUACUAUAGAGCUAGGAGGCGGGAGAGGCAAGCGGUACUCGAUGGGUAGGGGUAAAAUCCGUUGAUCCAUUGAAGACCACCAGUGGCGAAGGCGGCUUGCCAGAACGCGCUCGAUGGUGAGGGAUGAAAGCUGGGGGAGCAAACCGGAUUAGAUACCCGGGUAGUCCCAG